UGGGCUCGAAAUGUUGUGGACCGGGGUAGAAAUAUCCCUUCCCCGCAAGGGGCCGCAAUAUAGGUGCUGCAUGGCUGUCGUCAGCUCGUGUCGUGAGACGUUGGGUUAAGUCCCGCAACGAGCGCAACCCUUAUCCCCAGUUGCCAUCCUUCAGUUGGGCACUCUGGUGAAACCGCCUCGGAUAACGGGGAGGAAGGUGGGGAUGACGUCAAGUCCUCAUGGCCUUUAUGUCCAGGGCUACACACGUGCUACAAUGGCCGGUACAAACCGUCGCAAACCCGCGAGGGGGAGCUAAUCGGAAAAAGCCGGCCUCAGUUCGGAUUGCAGUCUGCAACUCGACUGCAUGAAGCUGGAAUCGCUAGUAAUCGCGGAUCAGAAUGCCGCGGUGAAUACGUUCCCGGGCCUUGUACACACCGCCCGUCACAUCACGAAAGUGGGUUGCACUAGAAGCCGGUGAGCUAACCGCAAGGAAGCAGCCGUCCAAGGUGUAAUUCAUGAUUGGGGUGAAGUCGUAACAAGGUAGCCGUAGGAGAACCUGCGGCUGGA
This 546-nucleotide ribosomal RNA is filed under the name uncultured bacterium. Its description in RNAcentral is "bacterial SSU rRNA". It matches the Rfam family "Bacterial small subunit ribosomal RNA", at positions 976 to 1522 of the family's 1533-position model. The record is from RNAcentral.